ACUACGGGAGGCAGCAGUGAGGAAUAUUGGUCAAUGGCCGUAAGGCUGAACCAGCCAAGUCGCGUGAAGGAAGAAGGAUCUAUUGUUUGUAAACUUCUUUUAUAGGGGAAUAAAGGUAUCCACGUGUGGAUCUUUGCAUGUACCCUAUGAAGAAGCAUCGGCUAACUACGUGCCAGCAGCGGCGGGAAUAAGGAGGAUGCGAACGUUAGCCGGAUUUAUUGGGGUUAAAGUAUGCGUAUGUUUGUUUGUAAGUCAGCGGUGAAAGUUUGUGGCUGACCCAUAAAAUUGCCGUUGAUACUGGCAGUCUUGAGUGUGUUUGAGGUAGGCGGAAUGCGUGGUGUAGCGGUGAAAUGCAUAGAUAUCACGCAGAACUCCGAUUGCGAAGGCAGCUUACUAAGCCAUAACUGACACUGAAGCACGAAAGCGUGGGGAUCAAACAGGAUUAGAUACCCGAGUAGUC
Molecule: ribosomal RNA, 460 nt
Filed under: uncultured bacterium
Lineage: Bacteria
Description: partial 16S ribosomal RNA
Rfam family: Bacterial small subunit ribosomal RNA
Source: RNAcentral